RNAcentral lists this ribosomal RNA (460 nucleotides) under uncultured bacterium. RNAcentral's name for it is "partial 16S ribosomal RNA". It matches the Rfam family "Bacterial small subunit ribosomal RNA", at positions 338 to 795 of the family's 1533-position model. The record is from RNAcentral.
CCUACGGGUGGCAGCAGUGAGGAAUAUUGGUCAAUGGGCGUAAGCCUGAACCAGCCAAGUCGCGUGAGGGAUGAAGGUUCUAUGGAUCGUAAACCUCUUUUAUAAGGGAAUAAAGUGUGGGACGUGUCCUAUUUUGUAUGUACCUUAUGAAUAAGGAUCGGCCAACUCCGUGCCAGCAGCCGCGGUAAUACGGAGGAUCCGAGCGUUAUCCGGAUUUUAUGGGUUUAAAGGGUGCGUAGGCGGCCUUUUAAGUCAGCGGGGAAAGUCGGUGGCUCAACCCUAGUAUUGCCGUUGAAACUGGUGGGCUUGAGUAUGUUUGAGGCAGGCGGAAUGCGUGGUGUAGCGGUGAAAUGCUUAGAUAUCACGCAGAACCCCGAUUGCGAAGGCAGCAUGCCAAGCCAUGACUGACGCUGAUGCACGAAAGCGUGGGGAUCAAACAGGAUUAGAUACCCUUGUAGUC